RNAcentral lists this ribosomal RNA (292 nucleotides) under uncultured archaeon. Its description in RNAcentral is "partial 16S ribosomal RNA". It matches the Rfam family "Archaeal small subunit ribosomal RNA", at positions 339 to 631 of the family's 1478-position model. The record is from RNAcentral.
GCGCGAAAACUCUACAAUGCAGGCAACUGCGAUAGGGGAACAUCGAGUGAUACUCAUAUUGGGUGUCUGUCCUUCCGUCUAAAAAACGGGAGUUAGCAAGGGCCGGGCAAGACCGGUGCCAGCCGCCGCGGUAAUACCGGCGGCUCGAGUGGUGGCCGAUAUUAUUGAGUCUAAAGGGUCCGUAGCCGGCUUGGCAAGUCUCUUGGGAAAUCCAGCGGCUUAACCGUUGGUCGUCCGGGAGAUACUACCUUGCUUGGGACUGGGAGAGGCGUGAGGUACUCAGGGGGUAGGA